UCCCUGAUAGCUCAGUGGGCAAAGAAUCCGCCUGAAAUGCAGGAGACCCUGGUUCAAUUCCUGGGUUGGGAA
This 72-nucleotide transfer RNA is filed under the name Ovis aries (sheep). It matches the Rfam family "tRNA". Rfam says of the family: Transfer RNA (tRNA) molecules are approximately 80 nucleotides in length. Their secondary structure includes four short double-helical elements and three loops (D, anti-codon, and T loops). The record is from Rfam by way of RNAcentral. Lineage: Eukaryota; Metazoa; Chordata; Mammalia; Artiodactyla; Bovidae.